This 220-nucleotide ribosomal RNA is filed under the name uncultured bacterium. RNAcentral's name for it is "partial 16S ribosomal RNA". It matches the Rfam family "Bacterial small subunit ribosomal RNA", at positions 111 to 334 of the family's 1533-position model. The record is from RNAcentral.
UAAUGUCUGGGAAACUGCCUGAUGGAGGGGGGUAACUGCUGGAAACGGUAGCUAAUACCGCAUAACGUCGCAAGACCAAAGUGGGGGACCUUCGGGCCUCAUGCCAUCAGAUGUGCCCAGAUGGGAUUAGCUAGUAGGUGGGGUAACGGCUCACCUAGGCGACGAUCCCUAGCUGGUCUGAGAGGAUGACCAGCCACACUGGAACUGAGACACGGUCCAG